AUUACAUAAAGCCCCCAGGUUACAGACAGGACCCCUGGGGCCAGGAGAGGAACUGGCAGUGCGUUUGGUGCAGACGAGUGGCAGGUGCCACACGGGGCGAUCACAUGGCACGGGAUUCCUGGCUUUGCCCCUUUAGUGGGUGCCUUGUGAUCUGCGUCAUGGUGAGGAGGACUUCAGGGACAGAUGGCCAGGGAUGUUCCCAGGUGGUGGAGGAGGCUCCACUGGCAGAGAAGCAACGUCAAGCUGAAGACAUUGGGGUGCGAUGGCUGGCCAGGACAGCUUGUCUCCUCGUCCGCACACGGAACGCUGGAUUUCACUCUGUGACCCAGCCAGCGGUCUCAUCUCACAGCCGCAGCUUUCAGCAGGAAGGAGCCCACUGGUGCCUGCCUGACCUACGAGGGCCCGCACCGUUUUGCCCUCCUAACAUUUUGUAUUUGAAGUGCUUGUCACAGUCCACAAAAUAACCACUCAGAAUCUGUUACUAUUUUGUUUAUAUGUUGUAUCAAGUGAAUGUUAAUAAGUCAUCUAAGUGUAUGCUUUAGUUAUAAAUCUUGGAAAAAUAAAAACUUCCUUUUGGAGGAAAAGUGAACUUACUUUGGUAUCAAAAUCACACAACUCCAGGUUGGAUUUUUUUGUGCUUUAAUGUUCGCAGUCACACGAAAGUGGCAUCUCCAUCAGCACUGGGGCGGCCGCCUCCUCAUCAGCCGACAGCUGCACGGUCCCCGCCUCUCAUCCAUUUGGUCUGUUUGCAAGUUACUAGAUCAUACAAAAAUAACCGCUACAAAUUCUCUGUAUCUGGCAUAUAAAAACUGAGCAAAAAGUAUCUCUUAAAGCAAAACAUCUCAGAAAAAAUACAACACAGGUUUAACUUCUGCAGUACUUUGUUCAUAUAAAACACUAGUAAAAUAGGCUUCUUAAAAAUUAAAUAGUGAAAUACCAACCAAAUUAUAUACAUUGUUACAGUACAAGUGAAUGAGGCAAAAUAUCCAGUUCUUAGUUUCCCAGGUGGGUGGGGGUGGCCUUCAGUGCGUGGCACGGAGGGGGUGACAGGAAGGCCACGUUCCAAUGUCACAGUCAGCGCAGAAAGAGGCUUGCAGCGGGACAAACAGAUGGAAAGAACUGAGUCACACAGGGAAGACCAGGGGCUCCUUUGAGGAAGAGUGAGGUCAUGUUUUUAUUGCUUGCUAAUCCGAGGUUUUCCCUGGCCCGAUGCCCCUCUAGGUAGCCUGGAUCCCAAAUGCUGCAGCCCACGUAGCGCUAAUCCAUGUCACCAAGCAGCCACGGGGAAGCCACAGCUGCUCCAGAGAAGACAGAACUAGGCUUCAGAGCCCUCAAUAUCUGAGCUGGACCGAUCCUGGUCUUUCAGGUCCAUCAGGGUCCCACAUGGUCCAACUGACACACACGUUUCCCCGCUGACGGCCACGUUCACCUGAGAGCCUGAGGGCGGGCAGUGUGGGCUCAUGGCACUGGGAUGGUAUCACUGUGGCCUGGGGGGUGGCACUCAGACCCAGCCAACCCCCUCAGCGACCACAGUGCCUCGCCCGCUUCUCUGCCGCCACCAGGGCUGAGGGUCUACGUGCGGCGCCGCUUGGCAGCACUGGGACUGGAAGGGUUGCUGUUUGCGGUCAGGACUUUGUCGGUGACCCGGCUGCGCUUCCGCUUGUCUGCGCCUUCUUUGCACCCCAAGUCUGAGGAGUUCUUCUCUUUGUCUUUGCUGGAUUUUUCUGAUGCUUUCCCCAAACUCCCUGAAGAUGAAAAAACUGAGAAACGAAAAAUCACUUGGCUGAAAACAGAAUAUCCAGAAUCUUAUUUUUGUCUUCCUGUUCAGUUAAAAAAAUCUGCAUACUGACACGUGACCCUCUGAACCCAAAGCUU
Molecule: long non-coding RNA, 1875 nt
Filed under: Homo sapiens (human)
Lineage: Eukaryota; Metazoa; Chordata; Mammalia; Primates; Hominidae
Description: non-protein coding OGFR-AS1:3
Source: RNAcentral